RNAcentral lists this ribosomal RNA (1105 nucleotides) under Pediococcus pentosaceus. Its description in RNAcentral is "bacterial SSU rRNA". It matches the Rfam family "Bacterial small subunit ribosomal RNA", at positions 15 to 1074 of the family's 1533-position model. The record is from RNAcentral. Lineage: Bacteria; Bacillati; Bacillota; Bacilli; Lactobacillales; Lactobacillaceae.
GAUCAUGGCUCAGGAUAAACGCUGGCGCCGUGCCUAAUACAUGCAAGUCGAACGAACUUCCGUUAAUUGAUUAUGACGUACUUGUACUGAUUGAGAUUUUAACACGAAGUGAGUGGCGAACGGGUGAGUAACACGUGGGUAACCUGCCCAGAAGUAGGGGAUAACACCUGGAAACAGAUGCUAAUACCGUAUAACAGAGAAAACCGCAUGGUUUUCUUUUAAAAGAUGGCUCUGCUAUCACUUCUGGAUGGACCCGCGGCGUAUUAGCUAGUUGGUGAGGUAAAGGCUCACCAAGGCAGUGAUACGUAGCCGACCUGAGAGGGUAAUCGGCCACAUUGGGACUGAGACACGGCCCAGACUCCUACGGGAGGCAGCAGUAGGGAAUCUUCCACAAUGGACGCAAGUCUGAUGGAGCAACGCCGCGUGAGUGAAGAAGGGUUUCGGCUCGUAAAGCUCUGUUGUUAAAGAAGAACGUGGGUAAGAGUAACUGUUUACCCAGUGACGGUAUUUAACCAGAAAGCCACGGCUAACUACGUGCCAGCAGCCGCGGUAAUACGUAGGUGGCAAGCGUUAUCCGGAUUUAUUGGGCGUAAAGCGAGCGCAGGCGGUCUUUUAAGUCUAAUGUGAAAGCCUUCGGCUCAACCGAAGAAGUGCAUUGGAAACUGGGAGACUUGAGUGCAGAAGAGGACAGUGGAACUCCAUGUGUAGCGGUGAAAUGCGUAGAUAUAUGGAAGAACACCAGUGGCGAAGGCGGCUGUCUGGUCUGCAACUGACGCUGAGGCUCGAAAGCAUGGGUAGCGAACAGGAUUAGAUACCCUGGUAGUCCAUGCCGUAAACGAUGAUUACUAAGUGUUGGAGGGUUUCCGCCCUUCAGUGCUGCAGCUAACGCAUUAAGUAAUCCGCCUGGGGAGUACGACCGCAAGGUUGAAACUCAAAAGAAUUGACGGGGGCCCGCACAAGCGGUGGAGCAUGUGGUUUAAUUCGAAGCUACGCGAAGAACCUUACCAGGUCUUGACAUCUUCUGACAGUCUAAGAGAUUAGAGGUUCCCUUCGGGGACAGAAUGACAGGUGGUGCAUGGUUGUCGUCAGCUCGUGUCGUGAGAUG